Zingiber officinale is the source of this 1149-nucleotide long non-coding RNA. RefSeq lists it as uncharacterized. NCBI's taxonomy places the organism in Eukaryota, Viridiplantae, Streptophyta, Magnoliopsida, Zingiberales, Zingiberaceae. The transcript is spliced from 2 exons. The record is from RefSeq and is a predicted model, not a curated record.
GACACGAAACCAGGAAACAGGAAAACGAGACGAAGAACACGAACCGGACAGCAGCGAAAAGAAUACAGAACUGCAACAGGUAAAAAAUACAGAAAAGAAGAAGAAAAAGAACGAAGAGAAGAAGAGACGAAGAAGAUGAUAACAGACGAAUAAGAAGAAGAAGAGAAGAAGAAGAAGAAGAAGUGAAGAACAGAAAAAAUAGAAAAAAGAAGGAAAACAUACUUGGCGACGAUGCAACUCAGCGAUGGCGCGACUCAGCGAUGGCGGCGGCGGACGGAAAUGGGUUCAGAAAAAUGAUGAAGGCUCUUGAGUAGUUUGUAGAGCUCGCCGCGGGCUGCAUAUUCCAAGACCAAGAAAACGCGCGUCUCGUCAUGGAACCAUGCGAAGAGGCGCAGGACGUUCGAAUGGUUCAAGUUGUGUUGGAUCUCAAUUUCCCGCCGGAGGUGGGAGUGCGAUCGGUAUUUCUCCAGCUUCGCCUUGAAGAUCACCUUUAGGGCAACCACAUACCCGCUCUGGACACAGUUCCGACGCCAAUGACAUCGCCAGGAUGAGAAAAACCGUAUUUUUUAAAGAAGAAAUUCGGAAACUAGAGGAGUGAAAACCCUAAACAAUACUUGUUUCUCCCUGGCGAGGUAGACCUUCCCAAACUUGCCUUCUCCUAUGAACUUGCCAAUCUCGAAGUCUGCGAUGCUCCAUUCCUCCUUCGCCAUGGAAGGACUUUAUCGAAAUCGAGGGAGGAGGCGGACUCUGAGGGCUGAGGCGGCGCAAUUGAAAUUGGUUUUUCAAAUUUGGGAUCAGAGAUCGGAUCUCGGGUCGCAAACCCGUUAACCUGCGCACGUGCCAGAAGUUACCAGAUUCCGGUUUCAAACCCAUGAAGCAAAGUGGCGUCGUUUCUACUCCCUGUUCUCCGCCUUCGCCGGCCGACUAUCUGAAGAGAAAUCCCUUCGCUGUCUUAUACAGAAGAUCUACGGUGAGCUCUUUGUCCUCCUCCUCCGCCUCCUCCUCACUUAAGGUGCAAGUACUUAAGGUGCAGCUGAAUACUUUUCAUCAGACAUCAAGGCUAUAUUGUUACUCCGGUGAUUUGUUUUGGCCAGAUUUGAUAUUUGUUUUCCAAAAGGUUUAUGAAUUUCGCUCCCUGUAUUUUUGACA